RNAcentral lists this ribosomal RNA (497 nucleotides) under uncultured bacterium. RNAcentral's name for it is "partial 16S ribosomal RNA". It matches the Rfam family "Bacterial small subunit ribosomal RNA", at positions 30 to 523 of the family's 1533-position model. The record is from RNAcentral.
AUUGAACGCUGGCGGCAUGCCUUACACAUGCAAGUCGAACGGUAACAGGUCUUCGGAUGCUGACGAGUGGCGAACGGGUGAGUAAUACAUCGGAACGUGCCUAGUAGUGGGGGAUAACUACUCGAAAGAGUGGCUAAUACCGCAUGAGAUCUACGGAUGAAAGCAGGGGAUCGCAAGACCUUGUGCUACUAGAGCGGCCGAUGGCAGAUUAGGUAGUUGGUGGGAUAAAAGCUUACCAAGCCGACGAUCUGUAGCUGGUCUGAGAGGACGAUCAGCCACACUGGGACUGAGAAACGGCCCAGAUUCCUACGGGAGGCAGCAGUGGGGAAUUUGGGACAAUGGGCGCAAGCCUGAUCAGCAAUGCCGCGUGCAGGAUGAAGGCCUUCGGGUUGUAAACUGCUUUUGUACGGAACGAAAAGCCCCGGGUUAAUACCCUGGGGUCAUGACGGUACCGUAAGAAUAAGCACCGGCUAACUACGUGCCAGCAGCCGCAGUAA